GUUUCCUUACUUACUCGGUUAGGCGGAGCGCGUGCCCCGAGGGCUUCGUGCCCCGGCGGUCACAGUGUUCUAGAGCUAAGCGUGUCAGAGUGGCGAGACACCUGGGCCGAUCGCCGUUGAUACUCCCGCGUGAUCCGAUUCGAGGACACUGCCUGGCGGGGAGUUUGGCUGGGGCGGUACAUCUGUCAAAGAAUAACGCAGGUGUCUUAAGGCCAGCUCAACGAGGACAGAAACCUCGCGUAGAGAAAAAGGGCAAAAGCUGGCUUGAUCUCGAUGUUCAGUAUGCAUAGAGACUGCGAAAGCACGGCCUAUUGAUCCUUUUGGCUUGAA
RNAcentral lists this non-coding RNA (330 nucleotides) under Trachymyrmex cornetzi. Its description in RNAcentral is "Eukaryotic large subunit ribosomal RNA". It matches the Rfam family "Eukaryotic large subunit ribosomal RNA", at positions 2511 to 2786 of the family's 3401-position model. The record is from Rfam by way of RNAcentral. Lineage: Eukaryota; Metazoa; Arthropoda; Insecta; Hymenoptera; Formicidae.